CGCCUGUUUAACAAAAACAUUUUUAUUAGAAAUUAUUAAUAAUAAGAUCUGCUCAAUGAAAUUAAAUAGCCGCUUAUGUGCUAAGGUAGCAUAAUCAUUUGUCUUUUAAAUGAAGACCAGAACAAAAGAUUUAACAUUUUAAUAAAUAUUUUAUAUUAAAUAAAUUGAAAUUAUCUUAAAAGUAAAAAGACUUUUAUUAAUUAGAAAGACGACAAGACCCUAUUGAACUUAACUUUUGUUAAACUGGGGCAGUUAAUAAAUUAUAAUUUUUAUAAAUUACAAAACAAAAAUUUGAUCUAAUAAUAUUAAUCCAAUGAUCAAGUUACCAUAGGGAUAACAGCGUAAUAUAAUUUUAAAGACCUUAUAUUAAAAUAAGCUUACGACCUCGAUGUUGAAUUAAUAACCUAAUUAAAGCAAAAAUUAAAAAAGGAAGUCUGUUCGACUUUUAAAAAAUUACGUGAUCUGAGUUCAGACCGGGGCGAUAAGGUUUACGACCUCGAUGUUGGAUCAGGACAUCCCAAUGGUGCAGCCGCUAUUAAAGGU
This 543-nucleotide ribosomal RNA is filed under the name Philodromus dispar. RNAcentral's name for it is "partial 16S ribosomal RNA". Lineage: Eukaryota; Metazoa; Arthropoda; Arachnida; Araneae; Philodromidae. The record is from RNAcentral.